GACGAACGCUGGCGGCGUGCUUAACACAUGCAAGUCGAACGGAAAGGCCCUGCUUUUGUGGGGUGCUCGAGUGGCGAACGGGUGAGUAACACGUGAGUAACCUGCCCUUGACUUUGGGAUAACUUCAGGAAACUGGGGCUAAUACCGGAUAGGAGCUCCUGCUGCAUGGUGGGGGUUGGAAAGUUUCGGCGGUUGGGGAUGGACUCGCGGCUUAUCAGCUUGUUGGUGGGGUAGUGGCUUACCAAGGCUUUGACGGGUAGCCGGCCUGAGAGGGUGACCGGCCACAGUGGGACUGAGAUACGGCACAGACUCCUACGGGAGGCAGCAGUGGGGAAUAUUGCACAAUGGGCGGAAGCCUGAUGCAGCAACGCCGCGUGCGGGAUGACGGCCUUCGGGUUGUAAACCGCUUUCGCCUGUGACGAAGCGUGAGUGACGGUAAUGGGUAAAGAAGCACCGGCUAACUACGUG
RNAcentral lists this ribosomal RNA (468 nucleotides) under uncultured bacterium. RNAcentral's name for it is "partial 16S ribosomal RNA". It matches the Rfam family "Bacterial small subunit ribosomal RNA", at positions 28 to 507 of the family's 1533-position model. The record is from RNAcentral.